AUUGAACGCUGGCGGCAGGCCUAACACAUGCAAGUCGAACGAGUGGCGGACGGGUGAGUAAUGUCUGGGAAACUGCCCGAUGGAGGGGGAUGACUACUGGAAACGGUAGCUACUACCGCAUACCAUCAGAUGUGCCCAGCUGGGAUUAGCUGGUGGGUGGGGUAACGGCUCACCUAGGCGCCGAUCCCUAGCUGGUCUGAGAGGAUGACCGGCCACACUGGAACUGAGACAUGGCCCAGACUCCUACGGGAGGCAGCAGUGGGGAAUAUUUCACAAUGGGCGAAAGUCUGAUGCAGCCAUGCCGCGUGUGUGAAGAAGGCCUUCGGGUUGUAAAGCACUGUCAGCGGGGAGGCGUUACCCGCAGAAGAAGCACCGGCUAACUCCGUGCCAGCAGCCGCGGUAAUAC
Molecule: ribosomal RNA, 406 nt
Filed under: uncultured bacterium
Lineage: Bacteria
Description: partial 16S ribosomal RNA
Rfam family: Bacterial small subunit ribosomal RNA
Source: RNAcentral